UCCGCAGGGCGAAACUGCUGGGCUGC
This 26-nucleotide non-coding RNA is filed under the name Homo sapiens (human). The record is from RNAcentral. Lineage: Eukaryota; Metazoa; Chordata; Mammalia; Primates; Hominidae.